GCGGCUGUAGCUCAGAGGGAGAGCACCACCUUGACACGGUGGGGGUCACAGGUUCGAUUCCUGUCAGCCGCA
Molecule: transfer RNA, 72 nt
Organism: Alicyclobacillus sp.
Lineage: Bacteria; Bacillati; Bacillota; Bacilli; Caryophanales; Alicyclobacillaceae
Rfam family: tRNA
About the family: Transfer RNA (tRNA) molecules are approximately 80 nucleotides in length. Their secondary structure includes four short double-helical elements and three loops (D, anti-codon, and T loops).
Source: Rfam